Molecule: ribosomal RNA, 2001 nt
Filed under: marine metagenome
Description: bacterial LSU rRNA
Rfam family: Bacterial large subunit ribosomal RNA
Source: RNAcentral
UAAAGAUACUAAGGGCGUACGGUGGAUGCCUUGGUACAUGGAGGCGAUGAAGGACGUGAUAAGCUGCGAUAAGCCUCGGGAAGGUGCAAACAACCUUAGAUCCGAGGAUUUCCGAAUGGGGCAACCUGUCUCGGGUUAUGCCGAGACACUCCCAGUUGAACACAUAGGCUGGGUUGAGCUAACGGGGUGAAUUGACACAUCUAAGUAACCCUAGGAAAAGAAAACAAUCGUGAUUUCCUCAGUAGCGGCGAGCGAACAGGAAAGAGCCAAAACUUCGAUCAUGUUAAAGUCCGUAGACGUUGUGAUUGGAGUGUUGUGAGGCAGUUCCGGAGUCUGUUACGGAAGACUCGGGGAGUCAAAAAACCUGAUGUUAGUUGAACGGCAUGGAAAGGCCGGCCAUAGAAGGUGAUAGUCCUGUAAACAAAAACUGAUGGUCUCCCUGGGAACUGUUCUCGAGUAGCACGGUACACGUGAAAUUCCGUGUGAAGCUGCCAGGACCAUCUGGCAAGGCUAAAUACUCCCAUGUAACCGAUAGUGAACUAGUACCGUGAGGGAAAGGUGAAAAGUACUCCUAGCGGAGAGUGAAAUAGAACCUGAAACCGUAUGCCUACAAACAGUCAAAGCUCUUUUUAGAGUGAUGGCGUACCUUUUGUAUAAUGGGUCAGUGACUUAAUUUAUUAAGCAAGCUUAAGCCAUCUAGGUGUAGGCGCAGCGAAAGCAAGUCUUAAUAGGGCGAUUAGUUUUAUGAAUUAGACCCGAAAACGAAUGAGCUUACCAUGAGCAGGUUGAACGCAAGGUAACACUUGCCGGAGGACCGAACCAGUUGACGUUGAAAAGUCUUUGGAUGACUUGUGGUAAGGGGUGAAAGGCCAACCAAAUUCGUAGAUAGCUGGUUUUCCGCGAAAACUAUUUAGGUAGUGCGAUGAAUAAAUAUGCGUUUAGAGGUAGAGCACUAAAUGGGCUAGGGGGGAGAAAUCCUUACCAAACCUAAUAAAACUCCGAAUGCCAAAAGUAAUUCCUCAACAGACAGACUGUGGGUCCUAAGGUCCAUGGUCGAGAGGGGAACAGCCCAGAUCACCAGAUAAGGUCCCUAAAUCAUGAUUAAGUGUGAAAGGAUGUGGAAAUUCCUUAACAGCCGGGAGGUUGGCUUAGAAGCAGCCAUCCUUUAAAGAUAGCGUAACAGCUCACCGGUCUAAUAGAGUUUCUGCGCCUAAGAUGUAACGGGGCUCAAAUCAUAUACCGAAUCUGUGGGUGCAUAAAAUUUUCGAAUUUUAUGCGCGGUAGCGGAACGUUCUGUAAGCCUGUAAAGGAAUACCCGUGAGGGAUUCUGGAGGUAUCAGAAGUGCGAAUGCUGACAUAAGUAACGAUAAACGAAGUGAAAAACUUCGUCGCCGAAAAUCCAAGGGUUCCUGCGCAAGGUUAAUCCGCGCAGGGUUAGUCGACCCCUAAGACGAGGGCGAAAGCCGUAGUCGAUGGGAACCAGGUUAAUAUUCCUGGACCAGAUGGUAGUGACGGAUUUCGUAAAUUGUUAACUCUUAAUGGAUUGAGUUAGCUGUGAAGAAAUUCCAGGAAAUAGCUCCAUCAUAAGAUCGUACCCGAAACCGACACAGGUGGAUUAGUAGAGUAUAUCUAGGCGCUUGAGAGAAUGAUGUUGAAGGAACUCGGCAAAAUGCCUCUGUAACUUCGGAAGAAAGAGGACCUAUUUUUGGGCAACCAUAAGUAGGUGGCACAAGCCAGGGAGAAGCGACUGUUUAUCAAAAACACAGGACUCUGCUAACACGUAAGUGGAUGUAUAGGGUCUGACGCCUGCCCGGUGCCGGAAGGUUAAUGCGAUGGGUGCAAGCCUGUUUCUGAAGCCCCGGUGAACGGCGGCCGUAACUAUAACGGUCCUAAGGUAGCGAAAUUCCUUGUCGGGUAAGUUCCGACCUGCAUGAAUGGCGUAACGAUUUCUCCGCUGUCUCCAACAUCAACUCAGUGAAAUUGAAUUCUCCGUGAAGAUGC